CAGAGGGUGCAAACGUUGUUCGGAAUUACUGGGCGUAAAGCGCGUGCAGGCGGCCUUGCAAGUCGGACGUGAAAUCCCACGGCUCAACCGUGGAAGUGCAUUCGAAACUGCGAGGCUGGAGUCCUGGAGAGGAAAGUGGAAUACUCGGUGCAGAGGUGAAAUUCGUAGAUAUCGAGUGGAACACCGGUGGCGAAGGCGGCUUUCUGGACAGGUACUGACGCUGAGACGCGAAAGCGUGGGGAGCAAACAGGAUUAGAUACCCUGGUAGUCCACGCCGUAAACGAUGAGUGCUAGGUGUCACGGGCUUUGACCCUCGUGGUGCCGAAGCUAACGCGUUAAGCACUCCGCCUGGGGAGUACGGCCGCAAGGCUA
Molecule: ribosomal RNA, 372 nt
Filed under: uncultured organism
Description: bacterial SSU rRNA
Rfam family: Bacterial small subunit ribosomal RNA
Source: RNAcentral